RNAcentral lists this ribosomal RNA (439 nucleotides) under uncultured soil bacterium. RNAcentral describes it as "bacterial SSU rRNA". It matches the Rfam family "Bacterial small subunit ribosomal RNA", at positions 26 to 490 of the family's 1533-position model. The record is from RNAcentral.
AGAACGAACGCUGGCGGCAUGCCUAACACAUGCAAGUCGAACGAGACCUUCGGGUCUAGUGGCGCACGGGUGCGUAACGCGUGGGAAUCUGCCCUUAGGUACGGAAUAACAGUUAGAAAUGACUGCUAAUACCGUAUGAUGACGUAAGUCCAAAGAUUUAUCGCCUAAGGAUGAGCCCGCGUAGGAUUAGCUUGUUGGUGAGGUAAAAGCUCACCAAGGCGACGAUCCUUAGCUGGUCUGAGAGGAUGAUCAGCCACACGUGGGACUGAGACACGGCCCAGACCUCCGUACGGGAGCAGCGAGGUGGGGAAUAGUGGAACAAGUGGGACGAAAGCCUGACUCCGAGACAAGUCGCCGCGUGAGUGAGUAGAAGGUCCGUUAGGGUUAGUAAAGUCCUUACGUUUACCGGGAAGUAAUAAGUGACGUAGGUAACCGGAAG